CAGCAGCCGCGGUAAUUCCAGCUCCAAUAGCGUAUAUUAAAGUUGUUGCAGUUAAAAAGCUCGUAGUUGAACUUCGGGGUUUACCCAUUGGUCAGGCUUAAUUGUCUGUACUGGUGAGAUGAAUCUCUACCUUCUGAGGAACUUUCAUGCCAUUUAUUUGGUGUGAUUGGAAAUUAGGACUGUUACUUUGAAAAAACUUAGAGUGUUUAAAGCAGGCUAACGUCUGAAUACAUUAGCAUGG
This 241-nucleotide ribosomal RNA is filed under the name uncultured Glomus. RNAcentral's name for it is "partial 18S ribosomal RNA". It matches the Rfam family "Eukaryotic small subunit ribosomal RNA", at positions 568 to 812 of the family's 1831-position model. The record is from RNAcentral. Lineage: Eukaryota; Fungi; Glomeromycota; Glomeromycetes; Glomerales; Glomeraceae.